GAUGAACGCUGGCGGCGUGCUUAACACAUGCAAGUCGAACGAAGCACUUAACUUGAUUUCUUCGGAUUGAUUGUUCUGUGACUGAGUGGCGGACGGGUGAGUAACGCGUGGGUAACCUGCCUCAUACAGGGGGAUAACAGUUAGAAAUGACUGCUAAUACCGCAUAAGCGCACGGUAUCGCAUGAUACAGUGUGAAAAGCCGAGACGGUAUGAGAUGGACCCGCGUCUGAUUAGGUAGUUGGUGAGGUAACGGCCCACCAAGCCGACGAUCAGUAGCCGGUCUGAGAGGAUGAACGGCCACAUUGGGACUGAGAUACGGCCCAG
Molecule: ribosomal RNA, 324 nt
Filed under: uncultured bacterium
Lineage: Bacteria
Description: bacterial SSU rRNA
Rfam family: Bacterial small subunit ribosomal RNA
Source: RNAcentral